RNAcentral lists this transfer RNA (77 nucleotides) under Candidatus Uhrbacteria bacterium. RNAcentral describes it as "tRNA-Val". It matches the Rfam family "tRNA". Rfam says of the family: Transfer RNA (tRNA) molecules are approximately 80 nucleotides in length. Their secondary structure includes four short double-helical elements and three loops (D, anti-codon, and T loops). The record is from RNAcentral. Lineage: Bacteria; Candidatus Uhriibacteriota.
GGAUCCAUAGCUCAGCUGGUUAGAGCGUACGGUUCACAUCCGUAAGGUCAGAGGUUCGAGUCCUCUUGGGUCCACCA